CAGGUGUCCGCUCAACUCUAAUUAUGUUCCAGACAAACACCCGGAACAAAAAUAACUUGUUUUUAAAGAAUACGUCCCCUAAUAAAUUAACUUAAAUUAUCCAAUUACCAGAGAAAUACUUCCAGGUAUAAACUUUGGGCUCUAUUUAUUUAAUCUAAUGGGACUUUACUGAUUCAGUUUCAUGAUUCUGUUUAUUUCUGAUACUUAUCACUUUUGAGCCUUGUAGGCUUCUUUACUCUCCACUAAAGAUAGAACCUUGUGUAUGUUGUAACCCUGGCGACCUCUUACAAUUCAAGAGUGGAACGCAUGAUGGCCGCCGAUUGGAACACACGCAUCAUACAGGCGUGGCUACCGGAAAUGACGUCACACGAACAAAGAAUACCCUGGAAAAUUGAUUAUGGACAAGCCAAAACAGCUGAAUUUCAUUGGAAACACCAUGAAAUGUGUAGGACCAUUUUUCUUGUAUUUUAUUUCAUUUUUUAUACAUAUAAUAAAGCAGUUUAUAUUUUCUGAUGUAUCCCAAGUCUGGCUUUCCAUACUGUGUCGUCAUCAUCCAAAAGCUGAGAGAGAACCCUGGACAAAC
Molecule: non-coding RNA, 583 nt
Organism: Pelobates cultripes (western spadefoot toad)
Lineage: Eukaryota; Metazoa; Chordata; Amphibia; Anura; Pelobatidae
Source: the annotation of a GenBank genome assembly